GGGCCCAGGCGGGUGCCGAGCCUGGCUUUGACAUCCGGGUUUCAGGGGUUCGAUUCCCCUUGGGUCCACCA
RNAcentral lists this transfer RNA (71 nucleotides) under Candidatus Doudnaibacteriota bacterium. Its description in RNAcentral is "Candidatus Doudnabacteria bacterium tRNA-Gln". Lineage: Bacteria; Candidatus Doudnaibacteriota. The record is from RNAcentral.